ACGUGCGGCGUGUGCGCGCCCGUCCGCACGUGCCGGCGGGGCGGGUCCGCUCGCGGGCCGGAGGCUCGAGGCGCGGCGGGAAGGGGAGGAGGCCCCGGAGUGGGUGCCGGGCACGCACCGCGGGGUGACUGCACAGGGCAGCGCACUGACAGCCCCGGCGCUUGCCGGUGUGCUUCUCGCACCUCCUGGCACGGGGAGCAGGACAGGAAACUCGUAGGUCGAGGUACAGACUGGUUCCAAGAGGUGAAGGAGCGGAAGGAGAAGGGAGAAGAAGCAGUGCCAAAGUGAUUUUUUCACCUCCCAGAAGUAGACUGGUGCCCAGCCAGGUCCUGAGGGAAAGACAGGGGGAAAAGGAGAGGAGAGUUGGUCAUGGAGAAACAGAGAAGCCAUAAAAGGCAGUUUCUGGAUUUCAAGGAGAGGAGCAAAGCUGGUCUAAAGGUAUCACUCCAGGAGCAGAGCCCUGCCUGGGAGCAACAUGAUCAUACAGGAAGCACACAGCAGCAUUUUGCCGUAAAACAUCUUUGCUGAGGAAGUAGAGCAUUGAUGGGCUGACAAAAACAGCUGCAAUGAGAAUCAGGUAACAUAAGCCUGAAGCUAAAGCUGGGCUUUCAACAUAAAUCAACUGAUCCAGAAGCUUUUGGUGUAUUUGUAUCAGAAGAGCUUAUAUAGCCAUAGCCACAAGGGCAAAAAGAGAACUGUUUGUGUGGCCAACUGCCCCUCCUGUAAACAGGACAGGUCAUUACUUGUAUAGUUAGAACUGAGUGUAAGAUCUAUGUUGGCAUACAUAAAGCAAUACAUCUAGGGGAAAUAAUUCAUACUUACUCUAAAUCUGUGCUUGUGAGAGAGAGGUUUAGGUCACAGACUUCACAAAGUUUUCUUGUCUGACGUGAAUGGUAACAGGUUGAUAGGACAGAAUAAUUUUGAUACCACCAGUCGCCAAAUAUUCUUGUGUCCAAAAAAGGUGUUUCCCAGUGCUUCUAUAAAUAAAGGGAGAGUUUUCUUAUCUUU
This is a long non-coding RNA of Pogoniulus pusillus (Red-fronted tinkerbird), 1008 nucleotides long. RefSeq lists it as uncharacterized. The record is from RefSeq and is a predicted model, not a curated record. NCBI's taxonomy places the organism in Eukaryota, Metazoa, Chordata, Aves, Piciformes, Lybiidae. The transcript is spliced from 3 exons.